Morus notabilis is the source of this 411-nucleotide long non-coding RNA. RefSeq lists it as uncharacterized. The transcript is spliced from 2 exons. The record is from RefSeq and is a predicted model, not a curated record. NCBI's taxonomy places the organism in Eukaryota, Viridiplantae, Streptophyta, Magnoliopsida, Rosales, Moraceae.
UGCCCACUUAAGUUGCUUUUAUUAUACUUUGAUCAAGGCAUUUGAGGAAGCAAUUGCUGAGUUGGACACUCUGGGAGAAGAGUCGUACAAGGAUAGCACUCUCAUCAUGCAGCUCUUACGGGACAACCUCACCCUUUGGACUUCAGAUGUUCAGGAUCAGUUAGAUGAGCCGUAGAAAGCAAUAUAAGUUGCCCAGGCCUAUUCUUCUUCUGCGAGAAGAAUGGCAUUUAUUUGUGCUGAUUUUAAGAAUGUGUGUUAGUCAUGUAAAUCAGGUGUCAAAGUGUCAACCUUCAACAUAAUGCCUCCAUAUUCAGACGAAACUAGUUCCUGAAUCUGUUUAGUAGUUUGGAAAAUAUGGAAUUUGAUGGAACGCUAGCUAUAUAUUUUUCUACAUUUUAUUUAGUUUUUGCA